RNAcentral lists this ribosomal RNA (540 nucleotides) under Streptococcus sanguinis. RNAcentral describes it as "bacterial SSU rRNA". It matches the Rfam family "Bacterial small subunit ribosomal RNA", at positions 939 to 1480 of the family's 1533-position model. The record is from RNAcentral. Lineage: Bacteria; Bacillati; Bacillota; Bacilli; Lactobacillales; Streptococcaceae.
AUGUGGUUUAAUUCGAAGCAACGCGAAGAACCUUACCAGGUCUUGACAUCCCUCUGACCGCUCUAGAGAUAGAGUUUUCCUUCGGGACAGAGGUGACAGGUGGUGCAUGGUUGUCGUCAGCUCGUGUCGUGAGAUGUUGGGUUAAGUCCCGCAACGAGCGCAACCCCUAUUGUUAGUUGCCAUCAUUCAGUUGGGCACUCUAGCGAGACUGCCGGUAAUAAACCGGAGGAAGGUGGGGAUGACGUCAAAUCAUCAUGCCCCUUAUGACCUGGGCUACACACGUGCUACAAUGGCUGGUACAACGAGUCGCAAGCCGGUGACGGCAAGCUAAUCUCUGAAAGCCAGUCUCAGUUCGGAUUGUAGGCUGCAACUCGCCUACAUGAAGUCGGAAUCGCUAGUAAUCGCGGAUCAGCACGCCGCGGUGAAUACGUUCCCGGGCCUUGUACACACCGCCCGUCACACCACGAGAGUUUGUAACACCCGAAGUCGGUGAGGUAACCGUAAGGAGCCAGCCGCCUAAGGUGGGAUAGAUGAUUGGGG